GUUUAUAUAAUUUAUGAAGAAUAUCGCACUGAAGAUGCGAAAGAGGUGGAGUACAUCUAUAGACA
RNAcentral lists this transfer RNA (65 nucleotides) under Varuna litterata. RNAcentral describes it as "tRNA-Phe". Lineage: Eukaryota; Metazoa; Arthropoda; Malacostraca; Decapoda; Varunidae. The record is from RNAcentral.